RNAcentral lists this ribosomal RNA (430 nucleotides) under uncultured bacterium. Its description in RNAcentral is "bacterial SSU rRNA". It matches the Rfam family "Bacterial small subunit ribosomal RNA", at positions 917 to 1350 of the family's 1533-position model. The record is from RNAcentral.
GGGCCCGCACAAGCGGUGGAGCAUGUGGCUUAAUUCGAUGCAACGCGAAGAACCUUACCAAGCCUUGACAUGUACGAGACCGGCCCUGAAAGGGGCCUUUCCUUCGGGACUGGUACACAGGUGCUGCAUGGCUGUCGUCAGCUCGUGUCGUGAGAUGUUGCGUUAAGUCGCGCAACGAGCGCAACCCCUGUCCUUAGUUUCCAUCAUUUAGUUGGGCACUCUAGGGAGACAAACCCUCUCUGAGGGUGGGAAGGUGGGGACGACGUCAAGUCAGGAUGGCCCUUACGGUUUGGGCUGCACACGUGCUACAAUGCCUGGUACAGAGGGAAGCAAUACCGUGAGGUGGAGCAAAUCCUCAAAACCAGGCCCAGUUCGGAUUGUAGUCUGCAACUCGACUACAUGAAGUUGGAAUCGCUAGUAAUGGCGCAUC